This is a long non-coding RNA of Passer domesticus (house sparrow), 791 nucleotides long. RefSeq lists it as uncharacterized. Lineage: Eukaryota; Metazoa; Chordata; Aves; Passeriformes; Passeridae. The record is from RefSeq and is a predicted model, not a curated record. The transcript is spliced from 7 exons.
CCCCUAUGCAUUAGGCAUCACAGCUGCAGAAGAGAGAGAAGAUCAGCAUCUCCCAUUCUACUUACCCCAUGAGGAAGCUCUAGGUCACUCCUCAGCCUUUAGGCUCAACAAACCAAGUGGCCUCUGCCUCUGGAGACUUUUCAUCAUCUUGGUCGCCUUUCUCUGGACACACUCUAGUAAUCUGAUGCUCCUGUUACAUUCUGGUGCCCAAAAUGCACUUGAGCUGCCGAAUGUAAGGACACAUUGUAAGCUCCUGACUGGAGCUGUCAGGACCAAGAGGUGUGUCUUCUCUUUUUUCCCUCCAUCAUUCAGGAUGUAUGGAAUGUGGUUCAUCUACUUCAGUCUAAGGAAUGCUCAUCAGUGAGAAAUCCUUGGAAAGUUUCUGCCAGUGAGGAAGUACACAAAAGAAGCUGGGAGAGAGCAUAGCUGGGACAGUGGACCCAAACUGACCAGAGGGAUAUUCCACACUGUUAUAAGUAAAAAUGAAAUAUGCCCAAUUCUAAUUUAAAAAAAAAAAUUAAUUUAUUUUGUGACCGUAAUACAGUCCUGACAGCCAACAAUCAAACGGACAGCAUAACACUCCCAGGAGAUUCCUCCCUUUUCAGUUCCUGAGUGACCUGCUGGAUCUUACUCUCUGGGUCUACUCCUUCUUUGUUCCUGGAGAAACAAAAGGUUUUAUCACACUGCAGGUGGAUUCUCUGAUUCUCCACCAGGAGGGGCACAGGGACAAUCUUGCACUUACUGGCUCCAACAAUUAGUUCAGGGAGUUGAGACAGCAUGCUUUAGUGCAG